GACAGUAGCAUGGCAUCAUGUAGCUGUUAAAGCUUUGGCGAUGAUAGAUGGGCAUGCGUCCAAUUAGUUAGUUGGUGAGGUAAUGGCUCACCAAGACGAUGAUUGGUAGGGGAUCUGAGAGGAUAAUCCCCCACACUGGCACUGAGAUACGGGCCAGACUCCUACGGGAGGCAGCAGUAGGGAAUAUUGGGCAAUGGACGGAAGUCUGACCCAGCCAUGCCGCGUGCAGGAUGAAGGCGUUAUGCGUUGUAAACUGCUUUUUUAUAGGAAGAAGGAGACCUUGCGAGGUUUUGUGACGGUACUAUAAGAAUAAGCACCGGCUAACUCCGUGCCAGCAGCCGCGGUAAUACGGAGGGUGCGAGCGUUGUCCGGAUUUAUUGGGUUUAAAGGGUGCGUAGGCGGUUUAUUAAGUCAGUGGUGAAAGACGGUCGCUCAACGAUUGCAGUGCCAUUGAUACUGGUAGACUUGAGUUCGUAUGAGGUAGCUGGAAUGGAUAGUGUAGCGGUGAAAUGCAUAGAUAUUAUCCAGAACUCCAAUUGCGUAGGCAGGUUACUAAUACGAUACUGACGCUGAUGCACGAAAGUGUGGGGAUCAAACAGGAUUAGAUACCCUGGUAGUCCACACUGUAAACGAUGAUGACUAACUGUUUGCCCUUUGGGGUGAGUGGUACAGAGAAAUCGUUAAGUCAUCCACCUGGGGAGUACGCCGGCAACGGUG
Molecule: ribosomal RNA, 717 nt
Filed under: uncultured bacterium
Lineage: Bacteria
Description: bacterial SSU rRNA
Rfam family: Bacterial small subunit ribosomal RNA
Source: RNAcentral